GCAUCACCUGUAAGACAGAGAGGGAGAUCUGUGUGUCACAAUGGGAGCUAUUGUAGCAUUAGCAGUGUUUCUGGUGACUUUAUAUUAUGGUCACUGUGUUGAACUCACACAACCAGCCUUUAUGGUUGUAAAACCAGGACAGUCUCUGACCAUCUCCUGUAAAGUCUCUGGUUAUUCCCUGACUGAUAGCAGCUAUGCUACACACUGGAUCAGACAGCCUGCAGGAAAAGCUCUGGAGUGGGUGGGAGGUAUAGAGGGGGAUGGAAGCACUGCUUAUAAAGAUUCACUAAAGAACAAGUUCAUCAUCACCAGAGACACCUCCAGCAGCACAGUGACUUUGCAGGGGAGCAGCCUGCAGACUGGAGACACAGCUGUGUAUUACUGUGCCCGAUACACACAGUGCAGCAAAGCAACGCUAGAGCUGUACAAAAACACAUCACACUGA
Molecule: non-coding RNA, 445 nt
Organism: Anguilla anguilla (European eel)
Lineage: Eukaryota; Metazoa; Chordata; Actinopteri; Anguilliformes; Anguillidae
Source: the annotation of a RefSeq genome assembly